This is a long non-coding RNA of Dalotia coriaria, 1224 nucleotides long. RefSeq lists it as uncharacterized. The record is from RefSeq and is a predicted model, not a curated record. The transcript has 3 exons. NCBI's taxonomy places the organism in Eukaryota, Metazoa, Arthropoda, Insecta, Coleoptera, Staphylinidae.
AAUAGGAAUCGACACGUAAAGUGUAUAUCAUUAAAACUAUUACCUAGUAUUUCAACAAGAAUCCAGUACUCUGUAAAAUAAUGCUCUCUGGGGUAAAGGCCCAGCUGUCCACGAAAUCUCAACAAAUCCAAGAUGAUUAUAUGGAGUGCAACUUUUUGAUCACUUUCGUAAGCCGAAAGUGCAUCUUGAACAUCUUGUGCAGCUCACAAAUGCAAUCUUGCCGGUGAUUCCAACUCUCAUUGACCGACUGCUGCAUCUUGAUCGCCAAUCGCUCACGGAUGAGAUUGAAAUAAUGAUUGAGGUCGUCGAAUAACUGUGCGCCCUGGAAUUUCAUGAAGCUCAUGUAUGUGACAUAGCAGUGGAUAAUCAACCCCGGCAGUAAAGCCACAAACAACGAUGCAGCCAGAACAAGUUUCGCCAAGAUUGUAUGACCCGGAUGGAUCCUAGGAGGCCAGUUUUUCUGAAUGUUGGCCAACUCGUCGUGUACUUCAGCGAUGAGUUCCCUUUUUCGCACAAGCAAAACAAGAAUGUACGCGGCCAGUAUAAGUCUGCUGCAGUAUUGUAUCCAGAACCCUGAGCGCGUGAGUGCGUUUUGUCUAAAAACUUCACUUGUUAAAUCAGGCGAACUUAUUGAAAAAAAAAAUGUUUAUUACGGGAAAUUGACUUUCAGCAGAUCUGAAUUUGCGACCAACAAGGCGAAGGUCACAAGUAGUGCAGCUAUGAAGAGUCUGUAGGAGGUGAACGUUUGUCGCACAAGGAGGCUUUUACUGGAGACAUUCGGGUACACUCCCAAUACCAAGAGCAUACAGGUGAGCGGCGCUUUUAUAUCAAUGUAGUUUACAAAUUUCGAACGCAUGUUUCAAAUCACAAUCGACGCCUCAAGUUACAAAUAUUCAAAUCAUUCGAUAAGCAACUGUGCGAAUUUGUAAGGAGUGAUAUGUUAGCCACGCGUCGAAUGAAUCGAAUGUACAUUUGAACUGUAAAUAAAUAAACACGUGAUGCCAAUCACGUCGAUGAUACAUUAUUAAAAACUGACAUUUGGUUUUUGGAGAAGAAAAAACCAACAUUAAACGGAACAUUAUUAUGUAUUGACCAAAUGGCCCGCAAUUAGUGCUCACAUUUCAUAGGAAAAAAAGGUAGUUAAUGGUCAAACCAUUUAUUUGAUUAAAUGAUAGUACGUAUAAAAUCACCAACACCAUUAUUGAUAUAUGCAGUCAUGACAUU